CCUACGGGUGGCAGCAGUGAGGAAUAUUGGUCAAUGGGAGAGAUCCUGAACCAGCCAAGCCGCGUGAGGGAAGACGGCCCUAUGGGUUGUAAACCUCUUUUGUCGGAGAACAAAACCCGGGACGUGUCCCGGACUGCGUGUAUCCGAAGAAAAAGCAUCGGCUAACUCCGUGCCAGCAGCCGCGGUAAUACGGGGGAUGCGAGCGUUAUCCGGAUUUAUUGGGUUUAAAGGGUGCGUAGGCGGUCCGUUACGUCAGCGGUAAAAUGGCGGGGCUCAACCCCGUCGAGCCGUGGAACCUGGCAGACGUGAGGUGGCGAGAGGUACGCGGAAUGCGCGGUGUAGCGGUGGAAUGCAUAGAUAUCGCGCAGAACGCCGAUGGCGAGGGCAGCGUACCGGCGCCAGACUGACGCUGAGGCACGAAGGCGUGGGGAUCGAACAGGAUUAGAUACCCGGGUAGUC
This 459-nucleotide ribosomal RNA is filed under the name uncultured bacterium. Its description in RNAcentral is "partial 16S ribosomal RNA". It matches the Rfam family "Bacterial small subunit ribosomal RNA", at positions 338 to 795 of the family's 1533-position model. The record is from RNAcentral.